Molecule: ribosomal RNA, 468 nt
Filed under: uncultured bacterium
Lineage: Bacteria
Description: partial 16S ribosomal RNA
Rfam family: Bacterial small subunit ribosomal RNA
Source: RNAcentral
GACGAACGCUGGCGGCGUGCCUAACACAUGCAAGUCGAACGGAAAGGGCCUGCUUUUGUGGGGUGCUCGCGUGGCGCACGGGUGUGUAACACGUGAGUAUCCCGCCCUUGGCUUUGGGAUAACUUCAGGCAACUGGGGCUAAUACCUGCUAGGAGCUCCUGCUGCAUGGGGGGGGUCGGAAAGUUUCGGCGGUUGGGGAUGGACUCGGGGCUUAUCAGCUUGUUGGUUGGGUAGUCGCUUACCAGGGGUUUGACGGAUAGCCGGCCUGGGAGGGUGAACAGGCACAAGGGGCCUGCGGGAGGGACCAGACGGGAACGGGAGACAGCAGGGGAAAGUAUGGCACAAUGAGCGGAAGUGUGAUACAGCGAUGCCGGGUGCGGGAUGACGGCUUUCGGGGGAGAAAGCGCAGUAGCCUGAGACGUAGCGGGAGUGACGGUACCGGGAAAAGAAGCACCGGCUAACUACGUG